Molecule: ribosomal RNA, 494 nt
Filed under: uncultured bacterium
Lineage: Bacteria
Description: partial 16S ribosomal RNA
Rfam family: Bacterial small subunit ribosomal RNA
Source: RNAcentral
ACGAACGCUGGCGGCGUGCCUAAUACAUGCAAGUAGAACGCUGAAGGAGGAGCUUGCUUCUCUGGAUGAGUUGCGAACGGGUGAGUAACGCGUAGGUAACCUGCCUGGUAGCGGGGGAUAACUAUUGGAAACGAUAGCUAAUACCGCAUAAGAGUAGAUGUUGCAUGACAUUUGCUUAAAAGGUGCAAUUGCAUCACUACCAGAUGGACCUGCGUUGUAUUAGCUAGUUGGCGAGGUAACGGCUCACCAAGGCGACGAUACAUAGCCGACCUGAGAGGGUGAUCGGCCACACUGGGACUGAGACACGGCCCAGACUCCUACGGGAGGCAGCAGUAGGGAAUCUUCGGCAAUGGACGGAAGUCUGACCGAGCAACGCCGCGUGAGUGAAGAAGGUUUUCGGAUCGUAAAGCUCUGUUGUAAGAGAAGAACGAGUGUGAGAGUGGAAAGUUCACACUGUGACGGUAUCUUACCAGAAAGGGACGGCUAACUACGUG